This is a non-coding RNA of Nothobranchius furzeri (turquoise killifish), 1364 nucleotides long. Lineage: Eukaryota; Metazoa; Chordata; Actinopteri; Cyprinodontiformes; Nothobranchiidae. The record is from RefSeq and is a predicted model, not a curated record.
GAACCUGUGGAACAUCAGAGACUUUGCAGCUAUUAGAGCUAACCUGUGUACUGCUAACUUGCUACAGAGGAAGCAGCAGAAAGCUGAGCUAACAGGCUGUUUUGCAGGUAAAUACUCUUUUAGUGGAACUGCAGGAUUUUUAUGGUAUAACUCAGACAGAAUCUACAUGAGCUAUUGUGGGAAGACAUUUAAACUACAUUUACAUACAGAUACAUGUAUUUUUUUAUUCCAUGUUACUUGGACGGGCUAAACAAGUUCAUAGUUCUGCCUGCUCCUUUUUCAGUGAAACGAAUGGAUUUUAUGAUGUAACUCUGACUGAAUAAUUAUCUAAAUUGAAAACUGCUGCAUUGCAUUACAAUGGAAGUGCUACACAGCCACAUGCAUCAACUGCAGCUGUUGACAAGCAUAUGGACCUAUUGUUCGAGUCCGUGGUGGUGGAUGCUCUAUCAUAUCAGGAGUCGGUGGUGGUGGAUGCUCUACCAUAUCAGGAGUCUGACUAAGUACCUGUGCCUGAACCUCUGUGUCUAGUUCAAAAGACCUGAAAGACCUGCUGUAAGCAGGCACAGGAUAAUAUUUUAAAAGAACCUGUAAGGUUGCCUGAUGCUGAACUUCGGGCAGCUGCGUGCUCAGUGGAACAACCGCCUGUGGGAGGAGUCGUUGUGUUGCUGUUAGGAGUUUGGGUCGGAGUCCUGGGUUUGUGUUCCCUUUAAUCUCUUCAUUAGCCUUGCUAGUCACCAUUGCAGAGCACCAUGGAGAGGCUUACCUGAAAACUCUUCUCAUGGGGCAGGCACAUCCUCACACACCUGUAACCCCAUCCUUGAAUAAAAGCUGGUAGCUGGUCACUCAUCAGAGUGUUUUAACCCAUAUCUAGCCCAUGACUCUGCCGUUUUUCAAACUUACGUUCUCAUGUUCUAUGCAGAUCUAUGGGAAUUCUUUCCUUGAAGCUCCUGAUCACACAACCAUACUGGCAGUCGGCUUACCCACUACCUUCUGCUCACCCGCUUGCUACUCAUGCUGUCAUUCUCCCAGACUUCUGGUUGUUUCGCCACCAUUCUGCUGUCUCCCGUCUGCGCUACAAUUUUAGACCGUAAGUACCUAAACUUUUCCUUUUGUAAGUCAUUCUUUAGUCAUUACUAACACUCAAUUUUACCUCAGGGCCUUCUGAUCUUUAAACACUAAAACCUGUGGCUCCAUCUCUGUGGCGUUUCUCAGACUCUGUAAGCUACCUGCACAGUCUAAGAAAAACCUGACCUGUUGCCUCUUACUAACCUCUGCUCUUCCUCGCAGAAGCUUCUGGUUCCUGAUCUCCAGCUGUUACCUCUUCAGUCAUCCGUCAAACAUUUUAAUAAACUGUUUUUAGCUCA